CUGAGCCGGGCGGCGGCGGCUCUG
RNAcentral lists this unclassified non-coding RNA (24 nucleotides) under Mus musculus (house mouse). RNAcentral describes it as "oocyte_clustered_small_RNA8517". The record is from RNAcentral. Lineage: Eukaryota; Metazoa; Chordata; Mammalia; Rodentia; Muridae.